RNAcentral lists this ribosomal RNA (206 nucleotides) under uncultured bacterium. RNAcentral describes it as "partial 16S ribosomal RNA". It matches the Rfam family "Bacterial small subunit ribosomal RNA", at positions 568 to 773 of the family's 1533-position model. The record is from RNAcentral.
UACGUAGGCGGCGCUGUUAGUCGGGUGUGAAAUCCCUCGGCUCAACCGAGGAAUUGCGUCCGAUACUGCAGUGCUUGAGGGAGACAGAGGUAAGCGGAACUGAUGGUGGAGCGGUGAAAUACGUUGAUAUCAUCAGGAACACCGGUGGCGAAAGCGGCUUACUGGGUCUCUUCUGACGCUGAGGUACGAAAGCUAGGGGAGCAAGG